UGACAACAGUGGUUCUCAAAUAGUUCCCAAACUAGCAGCAUCAACGUUACCUAGGGAGUUUAUAGAAACACAAAUUCUUGAACAACCACCCCAACCUUGUGCACACAAGGCCCUACAUGGGGCUGGCAGAUCUGAGGUCAUAGAGCAAAAAGAGCUUGCCUGUGACCAGGGUGGGGACCAGGGACAGCUGUCCCUAUGCUGCUGCAUUGUGACAUGGAAUUCAGAGUGUCUUUUGAAUCUUGUCUUCCAGCUGUUGUGAAGGUUGGAUUCUGUCUUGUUUUCAGAUCAUGCAAAUGUCUUCUCCCAGCCUGCUGUCCUUCUGUUAACAGUGUCUGA
RNAcentral lists this long non-coding RNA (336 nucleotides) under Mustela putorius furo (domestic ferret). RNAcentral describes it as "lncRNA (ENSMPUG00000024098.1)". The record is from RNAcentral. Lineage: Eukaryota; Metazoa; Chordata; Mammalia; Carnivora; Mustelidae.